AUUGAACGCUGGCGGCAUGCCUUACACAUGCAAGUCGAACGGCAGCACGGGAGCAAUCCUGGUGGCGAGUGGCGAACGGGUGAGUAAUAUAUCGGAACGUGCCCAGUCGUGGGGGAUAACGUAGCGAAAGCUACGCUAAUACCGCAUACGGUCUAUGGAUGAAAGCGGGGGAUCGCAAGACCUCGCGCGAUUGGAGCGGCCGAUAUCAGAUUAGGUAGUUGGUGAGGUAAAGGCUCACCAAGCCGACGAUCUGUAGCUGGUCUGAGAGGACGACCAGCCAGACUGGGACUGAGACACGGCCCAGACUCCUACGGGAGGCAGCAGUGGGGAAUUUUGGACAAUGGGCGCAAGCCUGAUCCAGCAAUGCCGCGUGCAGGAUGAAGGCCUUCGGGUUGUAAACUGCUUUUGUACGGAACGAAACGGUGAGCUCUAAUACAGUUUGCUAAUGACGGUACCGUAAGAAUAAGCACCGGCUAACUACGUGCCAGCCGCCGCAGUAA
Molecule: ribosomal RNA, 500 nt
Filed under: uncultured bacterium
Lineage: Bacteria
Description: partial 16S ribosomal RNA
Rfam family: Bacterial small subunit ribosomal RNA
Source: RNAcentral